ACAUACCUCUGGUGUACCAGUUGUCGUGCCAACGGCAUAGCUGGGUAGCUAUGUAUGGACGGGAUAAGUGCUGAAAGCAUCUAAGCAUGAAGCCCCCCUCAAGAUGAGAUUUCCCAACUUCGGUUAUAAGAUUCCUCGAAGAUGACGAGGUUAAUAGGUUCGAGGUGGAAGCGUGGUGACACGUGGAGCUGACGAAUACUAAUCGAUCGAAGACUUAAUCAA
Molecule: ribosomal RNA, 222 nt
Filed under: Staphylococcus epidermidis NIHLM088
Lineage: Bacteria; Bacillati; Bacillota; Bacilli; Caryophanales; Staphylococcaceae
Description: partial 23S ribosomal RNA
Rfam family: Bacterial large subunit ribosomal RNA
Source: RNAcentral